This 228-nucleotide long non-coding RNA is filed under the name Vigna radiata. Its description in RNAcentral is "long non-coding RNA (VRAD_LNC004747)". Lineage: Eukaryota; Viridiplantae; Streptophyta; Magnoliopsida; Fabales; Fabaceae. The record is from RNAcentral.
AGUUGUGUUAUGAAAAGAGAGAAAAGAAAAGAGACAAGAUGAAAAAAAAAAAGAAAAAAAAAUACAGAAAAAAAUGAGAAAAAAAAUUGUGUAUAAAGGAGUCAAGAAGAGGAUUGAAUUAGAGGUUUUGGGUGUGAGUAUACUGUGUUUACACUUGUUUCCCAUUGCUCGUCUAUUUCCUUUGAUUUGUAGCUUCUAAUCCAUAUUUAUCCUCGCUUUUUCCUUGGC